Molecule: microRNA precursor, 115 nt
Filed under: Pelodiscus sinensis (Chinese soft-shelled turtle)
Lineage: Eukaryota; Metazoa; Chordata; Testudines; Trionychidae
Description: miRNA (ENSPSIG00000020170.1)
Source: RNAcentral
ACAGUCAUGUGGCUGUUCCUCCCUCCUAGUUGAAAUAGUUUGCGUGUGUGUGUGUGUGUGUGUGUGUGUGUGUGUGUUACUCACACACACACACACACACCCUCUUCCAUAUACA